UUUGGUGGUCAUAGCGCGAGCAAAACACCCGGCUCCAUUCCGAACCCGGCCGUUAAGUGCCGUCGCGCCGAUGGUACUGCGUCUCAAGACGUGGGAGAGUAGGUCACCGCCAAAC
This 115-nucleotide ribosomal RNA is filed under the name Salipiger thiooxidans. RNAcentral also lists the same sequence under 1 other name. Lineage: Bacteria; Pseudomonadati; Pseudomonadota; Alphaproteobacteria; Rhodobacterales; Roseobacteraceae. The record is from RNAcentral.